UUCCUACGGGAGGCAGCAGUAGGGAAUCUUCCGCAAUGGACGAAAGUCUGACGGGAGCAACGCCGCGUGAGUGAUGAAGGCUUUCGGGUCGUAAAACUCUGUUGUUAGGGAAGAACAAGUACGAGAGUAACUGCUCGUACCUUGACGGUACCUAACCAGAAAGCCACGGCUAACUACGUGCCAGCAGCCGCGGUAAUACGUAGGUGGCAAGCGUUAUCCGGAAUUAUUGGGCGUAAAGCGCGCGCAGGCGGUUUCUUAAGUCUGAUGUGAAAGCCCACGGCUCAACCGUGGAGGGUCAUUGGAAACUGGGGAACUUGAGUGCAGAAGAGAAAAGCGGAAUUCCACGUGUAGCGGUGAAAUGCGUAGAGAUGUGGAGGAACACCAGUGGCGAAGGCGGCUUUUUGGUCUGUAACUGACGCUGAGGCGCGAAAGCGUGGGGAGCAAACAGGAUUAGAUACCCUGGUAGUCC
Molecule: ribosomal RNA, 469 nt
Filed under: Bacillus sp. (in: firmicutes)
Lineage: Bacteria; Bacillati; Bacillota; Bacilli; Caryophanales; Bacillaceae
Description: bacterial SSU rRNA
Rfam family: Bacterial small subunit ribosomal RNA
Source: RNAcentral